RNAcentral lists this ribosomal RNA (497 nucleotides) under uncultured bacterium. Its description in RNAcentral is "partial 16S ribosomal RNA". It matches the Rfam family "Bacterial small subunit ribosomal RNA", at positions 28 to 507 of the family's 1533-position model. The record is from RNAcentral.
GAUGAACGCUGGCGGCGUGCCUAAUACAUGCAAGUCGAGCGAGCGGACGAGAAGCUUGCUUCUCUGAUGUUAGCGGCGGACGGGUGAGUAACACGUGGAUAACCUACCUAUAAGACUGGGAUAACUUCGGGAAACCGGAGCUAAUACCGGAUAAUAUUUUGAACCGCAUGGUUCAAAAGUGAAAGACGGUCUUGCUGUCACUUAUAGAUGGAUCCGCGCUGCAUUAGCUAGUUGGUAAGGUAACGGCUUACCAAGGCAACGAUGCAUAGCCGACCUGAGAGGGUGAUCGGCCACACUGGAGCUGAGCCACGGUCCAGACUCCUACGGGAGGCAGCAGUAGGGAAUCUUCCGCAGUGGGCGAAAGCCUGACGGAGCAACGCCGCGUGAGUGAUGAAGGUCUUCGGAUCGUAAAACUCUGUUAUUAGGGAAGAACAUAUGUGUAAGUAACUGUGCACAUCUUGACGGUACCUAAUCAGAAAGCCACGGCUAACUACGUG